Molecule: ribosomal RNA, 2903 nt
Filed under: Alteromonas pelagimontana
Lineage: Bacteria; Pseudomonadati; Pseudomonadota; Gammaproteobacteria; Alteromonadales; Alteromonadaceae
Description: 23S ribosomal RNA
Rfam family: Bacterial large subunit ribosomal RNA
Source: RNAcentral
GUUGUAUGGUUAAGUGACAAAGCGUAUACGGUGGAUGCCUUGGCAGUUAGAGGCGAUGAAGGACGUGUAAGUCUGCGAAAAGCUGUGGUGAGCUGACAAAAAGCAUUUGAGCCACAGAUGUCCGAAUGGGGAAACCCACACAUUUAUGUGUAUCAUUAACUGAAUACAUAGGUUAAUGAGGCGAACGUAGGGAACUGAAACAUCUAAGUACCUAUAGGAAAAGAAAUCAACCGAGAUUCCCUUAGUAGCGGCGAGCGAACGGGGAGUAGCCCUUAAGCUAUAUUGGUGUUAGUGGAAGGCUCUGGAAAGUGCCACGAUACUGGGUGAUAGUCCCGUACAUGACAAUGCCAUUAUAGUGAAAACGAGUAGGUCGGGACACGUGUUAUCCUGACUGAAUAUGGGGGGACCAUCCUCCAAGGCUAAAUACUCCUAACUGACCGAUAGUGAACCAGUACCGUGAGGGAAAGGCGAAAAGAACCCCUGUGAGGGGAGUGAAACAGAACCUGAAACCGUAUACGUACAAGCAGUGGGAGCCUCUCUUUAUGGGGGGUGACUGCGUACCUUUUGUAUAAUGGGUCAGCGACUUAUAUUUAGUAGCAAGGUUAAGUGAAUAACGGAGCCGUAGCGAAAGCGAGUGUUAACUGCGCGUUGAGUUGCUAGGUAUAGACCCGAAACCCGGUGAUCUAGCCAUGGGCAGGUUGAAGGUUGAGUAACAUCAACUGGAGGACCGAACCCACUAACGUUGAAAAGUUAGGGGAUGACUUGUGGCUGGGGGUGAAAGGCCAAUCAAACCGGGAGAUAGCUGGUUCUCCCCGAAAUCUAUUUAGGUAGAGCCUCGGACGAACACCAUUGGGGGUAGAGCACUGUUAAGGCUAGGGGGUCAUCCCGACUUACCAACCCUUUGCAAACUCCGAAUACCGAUGAGUGCUAUCCGGGAGACACACGGCGGGUGCUAACGUCCGUCGUGAAGAGGGAAACAACCCAGACCGCCAGCUAAGGUCCCAAAAUAUUGCUAAGUGGGAAACGAUGUGGGAAGGCUAAGACAGCUAGGAGGUUGGCUUAGAAGCAGCCACCCUUUAAAGAAAGCGUAAUAGCUCACUAGUCGAGUCGGCCUGCGCGGAAGAUGUAACGGGGCUAAGCAAUAUACCGAAGCUGCGGAUUUGAACUUAGGUUCAAGUGGUAGGGGAGCGUUGUGUAAGUGGUUGAAGCUCAAUUGAGAAGUUGGGUGGACAUAUCACAAGUGCGAAUGCUGACAUGAGUAACGAUAAUGGGGGUGAAAAACCCCCACGCCGGAAGACCAAGGUUUCCUGUCCCAUGCUAAUCAGGGCAGGGUAAGUCGGCCCCUAAGGCGAGGCAGAAAUGCGUAGUCGAUGGGAAACGGAUUAAUAUUUCCGUACUUGUAUAAUCAGUGAUGGGAGGACGGAGAAGGCUAGGCAAGCCUGGCGUUGGUAGUCCAGGUGAAAGUGCGUAGGCUGAGUGUUUAGGUAAAUCCGGACACUUAAGGCCGAGACACGAGACGAGCCACUACGGUGGUGAAGUUGUUGAUGCCCUGCUUCCAGGAAAAGUCUCUAAGCUUAUGAUUAUGCGAACCGUACCCCAAACCGACACAGGUGGUCAGGUAGAGAAUACUAAGGCGCUUGAGAGAACUCGGGUGAAGGAACUCGGCAAAAUUGUACCGUAACUUCGGGAGAAGGUACGCCUCUGUUGGUGAUAGGACUUGCUCCUUAAGCGAAUGGAGGCCGCAGUGACCAGGUGGCUGGGACUGUUUAUUAAAAACACAGCACUGUGCAAAAUCGAAAGAUGACGUAUACGGUGUGACACCUGCCCGGUGCCGGAAGGUUAAUUGAUGGGGUUAUCUUUUAGAGAAGCUCUUGAUCGAAGCCCCGGUAAACGGCGGCCGUAACUAUAACGGUCCUAAGGUAGCGAAAUUCCUUGUCGGGUAAGUUCCGACCUGCACGAAUGGUGUAACCAUGGCCACGCUGUCUCCACCCGAGACUCAGUGAAAUUGAAAUCGCAGUGAAGAUGCUGUGUACCCGCACCUAGACGGAAAGACCCCGUGAACCUUUACUAUAGCUUGGCACUGAACAUUGAACCUACAUGUGUAGGAUAGGUGGGAGGCUUUGAAGCAUUGUCGCCAGAUGAUGUGGAGCCAUCCUUGAAAUACCACCCUUGUAUGUUUGAUGUUCUAACAUAGGUCCCUAAUCGGGAUUAUGGACAGUGUCUGGUGGGUAGUUUGACUGGGGCGGUCUCCUCCCAAAUCGUAACGGAGGAGCACGAAGGUUAGCUAAUCACGGUCGGACAUCGUGAGGUUAGUGCAAUGGCAUAAGCUAGCUUAACUGCGAGACAGACACGUCGAGCAGGUACGAAAGUAGGUCAUAGUGAUCCGGUGGUUCUGUAUGGAAGGGCCAUCGCUCAACGGAUAAAAGGUACUCCGGGGAUAACAGGCUGAUACCGCCCAAGAGUUCAUAUCGACGGCGGUGUUUGGCACCUCGAUGUCGGCUCAUCACAUCCUGGGGCUGAAGUCGGUCCCAAGGGUAUGGCUGUUCGCCAUUUAAAGUGGUACGCGAGCUGGGUUUAGAACGUCGUGAGACAGUUCGGUCCCUAUCUGGUGUGGGCGUUGGAUGAUUGAGGGGAGCUGCUCCUAGUACGAGAGGACCGGAGUGGACGAACCGCUGGUGUUCGGGUUGUCAUGCCAAUGGCAUUGCCCGGUAGCUACGUUCGGAAUCGAUAACCGCUGAAAGCAUCUAAGCGGGAAGCGAGCCCCAAGAUGAGUCAUCCCUGACCUUUAAGGUCUGGAAGGGUUGUUAUAGACUAUGACGUUGAUAGGCAGGAUGUGGAAGUGUUGUAAGGCAUUAAGCUAACCUGUACUAAUUGCCCGAGAGGCUUAACCAUACAACGCCUAA